This 85-nucleotide transfer RNA is filed under the name Lentisphaerae bacterium ADurb.Bin082. RNAcentral describes it as "tRNA-Leu". It matches the Rfam family "tRNA". Rfam says of the family: Transfer RNA (tRNA) molecules are approximately 80 nucleotides in length. Their secondary structure includes four short double-helical elements and three loops (D, anti-codon, and T loops). Further hydrogen bonds mediate the characteristic L-shaped molecular structure. tRNAs have two regions of fundamental functional importance: the anti-codon, which is responsible for specific mRNA codon recognition, and the 3' end, to which the tRNAs corresponding amino acid is attached (by aminoacyl-tRNA synthetases). tRNAs cope with the degeneracy of the genetic code in two manners: having more than one tRNA (with a specific anti-codon) for a particular amino acid; and 'wobble' base-pairing, i.e. permitting non-standard base-pairing at the 3rd anti-codon position. Lineage: Bacteria; Pseudomonadati; Lentisphaerota. RNAcentral also lists the same sequence under 2 other names. The record is from RNAcentral.
GCGAGAGUGGCGGAAUUGGCAGACGCGCUGGAUUUAGGUUCCAGUCCCGAAAGGGGUAGGGGUUCAAGCCCCCUCUCUCGCACCA